Molecule: ribosomal RNA, 331 nt
Filed under: uncultured Pseudomonadota bacterium
Lineage: Bacteria; Pseudomonadati; Pseudomonadota
Description: bacterial SSU rRNA
Rfam family: Bacterial small subunit ribosomal RNA
Source: RNAcentral
AGCGAACGCUGGCGGCAGGCUUAACACAUGCAAGUCGAACGGGCGUAGCAAUACGUCAGUGGCAGACGGGUGAGUAACGCGUGGGAACGUACCCCUCGGCGGGGGAUAACUACUCGAAAGGGUGGCUAAUACCGCAUGAGACCACGAGGUCUUCGGACCUUGAGGCCAAAGGCUGCAUCGGCUUGCCGGUGUAGUCACCGGAGGAUGGGCCCGCGUCCGAUUAGCUAGUUGGUGAGGUAAUGGCUCACCAAGGCGACGAUCGGUAGCUGGUCUGAGAGGAUGAUCAGCCACACUGGAACUGGAACACGGUCCAGACUCCUACGGGAGGCAG